UACGAAGGGGGCUAGCGUUACUCGGAUUGACUGGGCGUAAAGGGCGCGUAGGCGGCCAACUAAGUCAGACGUGAAAUCCCUCAGCUUAACUGGGGAACUGCGUCUGAUACUGGAUGGCUUGGAUUCGGGAGAGGAGUGCGGAAUUCCAGGUGUAGCGGUGAAAUGCGUAGAUAUCUGGAGGAACACCGGUGGCGAAGGCGGCAUUCUGGACCGAUAUUGACGCUGAGGAGCGAAAGCCAGGGGAGCAAACGGG
Molecule: ribosomal RNA, 253 nt
Filed under: uncultured bacterium
Lineage: Bacteria
Description: partial 16S ribosomal RNA
Rfam family: Bacterial small subunit ribosomal RNA
Source: RNAcentral